CCGAGGAGGACGAGGAGGGACGUCGACGUCGAUGGGAAGAGAGCGUCGUUUUAACGUUCGAGCACGUGGGUAAGAUGAGGGGACAGCGGCGCAGAAGAGGAACCGAAGAGAAACGAAGAAGAAGGAAGAGGAGAGGACGUCGAUCGCGAUGAACGAAGAAGCGUCGUCUCGAGGAGAUCGGGUGAACGUAGAAAGAGGUGGGGAGGUGCGUCAAAGGAAGAAUCGAAUAGAAAAAGGGAUGAAACGUAUGGAGCGUGAACAAUAAUCCCGUAAAGAGUCGAGGCUCGAGGCUGGCCCCUGGUAAAUGGAACACGUGUAAGGUGUCACAUCUAUCUGAAAAGUUCAUCGUUACGAAGAUACACGGAUGAAAAGAGUUUCCUAGAAUGUGAGCUAUCUUUGGAACCACCAUGGUGGUGGCGAGUGUGUAAUCGAAGGAAUUGUAGAACACUUUUCUCAUGCAAAUACGCUCCCGAAUACGCAGACCCGUAGAAGGGACAACGAACUUCUUUCGCUCUGCUUAAAACUUCGAACUUGGGUCCUUUUAAAUUUAAAUGCUCUCCCCUGGCACGGUCGAGCGAGCAGCCGUCGCGCGUUCUUCUUCUUCUUUCCUCGCGUCGAUGUCACGAAGAUGGUAAA
Long non-coding RNA from Apis laboriosa (Himalayan honeybee), 636 nucleotides. RefSeq lists it as uncharacterized. Lineage: Eukaryota; Metazoa; Arthropoda; Insecta; Hymenoptera; Apidae. The record is from RefSeq and is a predicted model, not a curated record. The transcript is spliced from 3 exons.